This is a non-coding RNA of Ceratotherium simum simum (southern white rhinoceros), 1168 nucleotides long. The record is from RefSeq and is a predicted model, not a curated record. Lineage: Eukaryota; Metazoa; Chordata; Mammalia; Perissodactyla; Rhinocerotidae.
UUGUGAUCUGGACACACACAACCAACAUUAGCUAAGGAAACACCCAUUUUCUAUUUAACCAGAAGGAGGAUGAAGCUGCUGCUAACAUUUCAAUAACAUGUAAGAUUCAUAACUGUCAUUAUCUCAAGUGAAAUCAGACUGAAUUUAGUGGGGGGACGGACUGACUGAUGAACUUAAGUUCUGGACAGUUCUAUUCACAAUAGUAGAGGUUCAGAUACCCAACACAUCUCUGCAGGGACAUUUUAAUGAAUAAUUCUAUACACCAAAUUUAUCUUCUUGUGGACCAUAUAUUUGGGUAGGAAGACAUCAUACUUCUCACCCCGCUCCUUUAAUAAAACUUACUGUGCCCCUUUCCACAAAAGGGAGAGCUUCCAAAAAAACUGUUAGCUGACAGUUACUACUAUGAAUGAAGAGCUUCAACUGCUGUUUACUCUAAUCCCCCAGGAAAAUUACAUCAAAAAUGGAUGUUUUAUGACAAAAUCACUCAUUUAUCUCAAAACCAGAACAAAUAGAAAACAACACUAUUCAGGGAGUUGAAGUACUUUUCUGAACACUACUGCAGAAACACAGAAACCCAGCAGAUUGCAGACAUGCAGGAGUCAGCACUGGAUAGGAAAGAAUUAACACAUCACACUCAGUACAACUUUAAUAACUGGAUUGAAAGUAGACUCUUAAUAAAACCAAAAUAUUCCUUCCUCAAGGCAACCAUUAGCUACAAAGGAAUAAUGAUUCAUAUCCUUGGUCCAUAAAGAAGACGCAUUUAUUUACAUUCUCAAUGGACCAAAAGAGGUUUUAAACUGUCACAAUUAAAAUUUUAUGCUUCCAAAAAUAUCAUAUCAUAAUGCAUUUAACUUAAAGCUUCAGGUAUUAAUAACUUCAUUUAGACUCCUUAAAAAACAAACACAAACAUACUUUCUAGAGUGCAAAAUGCUUCUUAUUAAAUACUCCAGUAACACAAAAGCAAUUUGUUUUUAAACACAGGAAUCCUUUUCUGAAGGAUCACCCCACAGAGACAUCCAUUGCCGGCAAUGGACGGGGAACAAGACUGCCAGCUCGGGGAAAACGCAACGUUAGAAUUUUGCGCUGGGUUUCUGCGCCUAUCCAGAUGACCCCACUCAUUUGUACAAACUCAUUGUUGGACUCUGGUACAUGCACAUGUACGCGUCAC